This 253-nucleotide ribosomal RNA is filed under the name uncultured bacterium. Its description in RNAcentral is "partial 16S ribosomal RNA". It matches the Rfam family "Bacterial small subunit ribosomal RNA", at positions 524 to 776 of the family's 1533-position model. The record is from RNAcentral.
UACAGAGGUCCCAAGCGUUGUUCGGAUUUACUGGGCGUAAAGGGUUCGUAGGCAGUGGGGUAAGUUUGAGGUGAAAGCUCCGGGCUCAACCCGGAAAAUGCCUUGAAAACUAUCCGGCUAGAGGGUUGGAGGGGAGACUGGAAUUCUCGGUGUAGCAGUGAAAUGCGUAGAUCUCGAGAGGAACACCAGUGGCGAAGGCGGGUCUCUGGACAGUAACUGACGCUGAGGAGCGAAAGCGUGGGGAGCGAACAGG